CCUGAUAGCUCAGUUGGUAAAGAAUCUGCCUGCAAAGCAGGAGACCCUGGUUCAAUUCCUGGGUCAGGA
Molecule: transfer RNA, 69 nt
Filed under: Bos taurus (domestic cattle)
Lineage: Eukaryota; Metazoa; Chordata; Mammalia; Artiodactyla; Bovidae
Also listed under: 5 other names
Rfam family: tRNA
About the family: Transfer RNA (tRNA) molecules are approximately 80 nucleotides in length. Their secondary structure includes four short double-helical elements and three loops (D, anti-codon, and T loops).
Source: Rfam by way of RNAcentral